GCGGCAGUAGCUCAGUGGUAGAGCCUCUCCGCUUCGCAUGCGGGGAGACCUGGGUUCGAUACCCGGCUGCAUCC
RNAcentral lists this transfer RNA (74 nucleotides) under Toxocara canis (dog roundworm). It matches the Rfam family "tRNA". Rfam says of the family: Transfer RNA (tRNA) molecules are approximately 80 nucleotides in length. The record is from Rfam by way of RNAcentral. Lineage: Eukaryota; Metazoa; Nematoda; Chromadorea; Rhabditida; Toxocaridae.